AACGCAACUUGCGCCCCUUGGUAUUCCGAGGGGCACGCCUGUUUGAGUGUCGUGAAUUCCUCCACCCACCAUCCUUUUUGUGUUGGUCGGGCUGGGAUCUGGGGGUUUUGUGGGUCCUCUCUGGUCCACUCUCCUUGAAUGCAUGAGUGAAGACCUGUACAGGCCUCGGUGUGAUAUGAUAUCUACGCCACGGCUCUGUGUGGAAUAGUGCUUUGCUUCGAACCGUCCCUCUCUGGGACAAGCUCUAUCGAACACUUGACCUCAAAUCAGGCGGGACUACCCGCUGAACUUAA
RNAcentral lists this unclassified non-coding RNA (293 nucleotides) under uncultured fungus. RNAcentral's name for it is "partial contains 5.8S rRNA and ITS2". The stretch from base 1 to 52 matches the Rfam family "5.8S ribosomal RNA", at positions 103 to 154 of the family's 154-position model. Lineage: Eukaryota; Fungi. The record is from RNAcentral.